Aricia agestis (brown argus) is the source of this 422-nucleotide long non-coding RNA. RefSeq lists it as uncharacterized. NCBI's taxonomy places the organism in Eukaryota, Metazoa, Arthropoda, Insecta, Lepidoptera, Lycaenidae. The transcript is spliced from 3 exons. The record is from RefSeq and is a predicted model, not a curated record.
UGCUGUGCGUUUCGCGCCUUUUCCGGAUCUCUCAAAAUCAGGCGGGGGUUCUUUCUGAACGAACAAACAGACAGCGUCAUCCAAUCAGCUGGUUUUUAAGACCGCCGGUAUGUUGUCAAUGUUUUGUGAACACUUGUUUCUUCAAUAGAUUUGGGCCUCCUUCCAAUAAAAGUGAUUAAUUUAUUAACUUAUUGUGUGGUGUACGAUUAUUAUCAAAGAAUUGUUAAUGGGAAAUUCAUAUAUGGAUAACGCCAAGAACGGCAACCAUGUCCCAGAACAAUAGCAUAAAUUAUUAUAUUCACAACCUUGACGGGCAGCCUCAAAAUAUGGUAAAAGUAGUGCAGACUAACAAUUUACAAGCACAUUCAUACAUUGUUAAGCAAAAUACUGUCAAAGUUAUUAAAACAAAAUCUUUAGAAGAC